RNAcentral lists this ribosomal RNA (674 nucleotides) under uncultured bacterium. RNAcentral's name for it is "bacterial SSU rRNA". It matches the Rfam family "Bacterial small subunit ribosomal RNA", at positions 138 to 807 of the family's 1533-position model. The record is from RNAcentral.
GGGGGAUAAGCGGAAGAAAUUCCGUCUAAUACCGCGUAACAACCCAUGGAGGCAUCUCUGUGGGUUUAAAGGAAGCGAUUCCGGCUACGGAUGGUCAUGCGUCGCAUUAGCUUGUUGGCGGGGUAACGGCCCACCAAGGCGACGAUGCGUAGGGGUUCUGAGAGGAAGGUCCCCCACACUGGUACUGAGACACGGACCAGACUCCUACGGGAGGCAGCAGUGAGGAAUAUUGGUCAAUGGCCGCAGGGCUGAACCAGCCAAGUCGCGUGAGGGAUGACGGUCCUAUGGAUUGUAAACCUCUUUUGUCAGGGAGCAAAGGGCGCCACGUGUGGCGCUUUGCGAGUACCUGAAGAAAAAGCAUCGGCUAACUCCGUGCCAGCAGCCGCGGUAAUACGGAGGAUGCGAGCGUUAUCCGGAUUUAUUGGGUUUAAAGGGUGCGCAGGCGGAAUGUCAAGUCAGCGGUAAAAUUUCGGGGCUCAACCCCGUCGUGCCGUUGAAACUGGCGUUCUUGAGUGAGCGAGAAGUAUGCGGAAUGCGUGGUGUAGCGGUGAAAUGCAUAGAUAUCACGCAGAACUCCGAUUGCGAAGGCAGCAUACCGGUGCUCAACUGACGCUCAUGCACGAAAGCGUGGGUAUCGAACAGGAUUAGAUACCCUGGUAGUCCACGCAGUAAAC